This is a long non-coding RNA of Catharus ustulatus (Swainson's thrush), 894 nucleotides long. RefSeq lists it as uncharacterized. Lineage: Eukaryota; Metazoa; Chordata; Aves; Passeriformes; Turdidae. The transcript has 3 exons. The record is from RefSeq and is a predicted model, not a curated record.
GUCAAAUGAAGAUGCUGUGCAGUUGGCUUCUAUAAUUACUAGCAAUACUUUAUGAUAUGAGGAUCACUCUUUCUUAUUUGGCAAGCUAGAAGACAUCUACUUAUCCUCACCAACAAAACAGUAGCCCAAUUUUGGUUUAAAAGGCAUAGAAAGAAAAAGGAAAACCACGUCCAAAGUUUCAUCAGCUGAAGAGCAGUGAUGAGAUGAACAGAGAAGAGACUGAAAGCUUGAAGGCUUUACUACAUGCAGAGAGAACUACAAGGAAGACUUUACUCCAGACACAUGCAAAACUGCUCCAAACAGCUCAGGAACUGCCUCAACUUACUCUGUCCACCUCUAAGCCCAGAACUUGAGCAAAAGCAGAGAAGAGAUGGAUCAGCUUUAUUAUAUCUAUCAAGGGAAGGACUCAUUUACCUAACUUCAGACAUCGAAAAUGAAGAUGUGCCAUGGAAGCACCCAUAUAGGGUGACUCAUUGCUCAGUGGAGAUUGAUGAUCCACCUCAGCCUGAAGUAGUUUCUGUGGGUUAAAUUGCCCUCCAGAAGUGUGGGUACCUACUGAAGCAGCCCACAGAACAAGCUUAUACCCAGCAUGUCACCUUUAUCUGAGGGUAAAGACCCUGCCCGUUUACCCUGAAUGAAAAAGCUGCUUUUGGGUUAUGGUGCACACAAAGGUGUUUCUCUUUCACCUUAACCUCACCAGCCAUUUGCCAUCUGCAUCGCUAGGGUUUAAACCUUGGUCCAUCUUCAUGUCAUUGUUUGGGUGGAUUGUUGCAUCCUGUGAUGCUCUGCCCUUUACCCUUCUCCUCAGCCACCAGAGAAAAGAUAAAUAUGCACUGCAAUUGUCAGGCUUUUCUUUAUAGGCCAAAAAAUAUUCUAAAUAUAAAACACUCUAUA